This is a long non-coding RNA of Physeter macrocephalus (sperm whale), 1093 nucleotides long. RefSeq lists it as uncharacterized. The transcript is spliced from 4 exons. The record is from RefSeq and is a predicted model, not a curated record. NCBI's taxonomy places the organism in Eukaryota, Metazoa, Chordata, Mammalia, Artiodactyla, Physeteridae.
GAACGGGUAUUAUUAGCACCCGCCCCCAUCCCAGCUACUCCCUCCAAGUCAACAAACUUGAGCCUCUGUGGGCGGGACGCGGAGCCAAGAGCGCCCUAAACCAGGCUCGCUCCGACAAUCCCCGGUCCCUUCCCCUCCCAGAAGGGGCGGUAGGGCCCCCGGGCCUCCCGGAAAGGGGGCGGGGUCCUUAGGAGGGUCUGGCCCGUCCCUCCCCACAAAAAGACCUAGCUGGUGGCAGUGUCUCCUGGGAGUCCGCUUCCUGCCCCGCCCCUCCGCCCCCUGGAUCCUUAAAGGCGCAGGCCUCCAGCCUGGCUCCCAUUGCUGCCAACUCUUAGGCCGCUGUCGGAGGAUCCCCUUUAACCUGAGAGAGAACUUUCACUUUGCUAAAUUGAACCUGUGUCUGGGUCAGUUCCGACGAGCUCCUUUCUCUGUUUCAAAUACGCAUUGACUUCACCCAGCUGGAGCAAAGACUGGGACGUGGAGCGGGGUCCGUGGGGCCUUCCAGACUAGAUAAAUGUAAUGACUGUGACUCACCCACACGGUAAACAGCGUCUCAAGACCCUUCCAGCAACCCAAUAACGCGUCCUCCAAUCUGUGGCCAACUUCCCCUAUCAGUCACCUCUUGGUAUGAGGCGGCGGGAGAGACCUGGACUACGAGUCUUCACUCCUGGGUUCUCGUCCUAGCUUGAUGACACCUCCUGCCUGGCGUUCUCACACAGAUCCUACCAUAAUUGACUGACUGGAAAAUAGACUCAUGGAUCUGACAUCACCACCAUAAACUAACGCUUGGAUGAUUCAAGCUGUCAGAGCCCUGGGACUUGAGACUUCCAGAAAAAUUCCAGCCCCAAAGCAGAAGACUUCUAUGGAGAAAGAUGCUAAGCCACAAACAGAAAUUUUUGGAUGAUGUCACGGUGAGCCCUCUUUGUGGGUGGCUGCUUUCUUUUCCAUGGGGUAUCCCAGGAGACCUCGCCAGGAUUGGGUCUGCCUCCACUUGCUUCAGCAUCUGAUCUAGGAACAGAUUCUAGGGACAAGGGAAAGCAAGCAAAGGACAUGAAGGUCUAUUUUGAACAGUACAAGCUCAAGGCAACCCUGA